UGAGUAACCUGCCCUUAACUCUGGGAUAAGCCUGGGAAACUGGGUCUAAUACCGGAUAUGACUCCUCAUCGCAUGGUGGGGGGUGGAAAACUUUAUUGUGGUUUUGGAUGGACUCGCGGCCUAUCAGCUUGUUGGUGAGGUAAUGGCUCACCAAGGCGACGACGGGUAGCCGGCCUGAGAGGGUGACCGGCCACACUGGGACUGAGACACGGCCCAGACUCCUACGGGAGGCAG
RNAcentral lists this ribosomal RNA (234 nucleotides) under uncultured bacterium. Its description in RNAcentral is "partial 16S ribosomal RNA". It matches the Rfam family "Bacterial small subunit ribosomal RNA", at positions 118 to 351 of the family's 1533-position model. The record is from RNAcentral.